CGGUGGGGUAGAGGUGCAAAAUUCAAGAGUAAGAUGUGCGAGGAUGACAACGUUGACCGCAUCAGAAAGGGAAUUUUUGCCGAAGCAAUUGACAUGUGUCCGCAUUCCAUUGCUGGGGCUGCUUUGAAGAAGGGCAGCACUGUCAUUAUAAAGGCAAAGCAGGUAUAUGCUUAGAAAAGCCUUAUAAUGGGGAGCUACAGAUCGU
Molecule: non-coding RNA, 205 nt
Filed under: Bacillus infantis
Lineage: Bacteria; Bacillati; Bacillota; Bacilli; Caryophanales; Bacillaceae
Also listed under: 1 other name
Description: Lysine sequence
Rfam family: Lysine riboswitch aptamer
About the family: Riboswitches are metabolite binding domains within certain messenger RNAs that serve as precision sensors for their corresponding targets. Allosteric rearrangement of mRNA structure is mediated by ligand binding, and this results in modulation of gene expression.
Source: RNAcentral